Molecule: ribosomal RNA, 471 nt
Filed under: uncultured bacterium
Lineage: Bacteria
Description: bacterial SSU rRNA
Rfam family: Bacterial small subunit ribosomal RNA
Source: RNAcentral
UGGGGAAUUGUUCACAAUGGGCGCAAGCCUGAUGGUGCGACGCCGCGUGAGGGAUGAAGGCCUUCGGGUUGUAAACCUCUGUCACCGGGGAAGAAACGCUUCAAGUUAACAGCUUGAAGCCUGACUUAACCCGGAGAGGAAGCAGUGGCUAACUCUGUGCCAGCAGCCGCGGUAAUACAGAGACUGCAAGCGUUAUUCGGAUUCACUGGGCGUAAAGGGUGCGCAGGCGGUUGGGUGUGUCAGAUGUGAAAUCCCGAGGCUUAACCUCGGAACUGCGUCUGAAACUACUCGACUAGAGUACUGGAGAGGGUAACGGAAUUCACGGUGUAGCAGUGAAAUGCGUAGAUAUCGUGAGGAACACCAGAGGCGAAGGCGGUUACCUGGACAGUUACUGACGCUCAGGCACGAAAGCAUGGGGAGCAAAAGGGAUUAGAUACCCACGUAGUCCCUGAGCGGGCUGGCAAGGCGCAU